GGCAUGUUGAGCUCAGUUGGUGAGAGCGUGGCGCUGAGAACGCCAAGGUUGCAGGUUCGAUCCCCGCAUGGGGGAGCUG
Podarcis raffonei (Aeolian wall lizard) is the source of this 79-nucleotide non-coding RNA. The record is from the annotation of a RefSeq genome assembly. NCBI's taxonomy places the organism in Eukaryota, Metazoa, Chordata, Lepidosauria, Squamata, Lacertidae.